This 452-nucleotide small RNA is filed under the name Histoplasma capsulatum var. duboisii H88. RNAcentral's name for it is "Histoplasma capsulatum H88 hypothetical RNA". Lineage: Eukaryota; Fungi; Ascomycota; Eurotiomycetes; Onygenales; Ajellomycetaceae. The record is from RNAcentral.
GUGGGAGGUGAAAACUAUUUAUGAUCAUCAUUUUUAGACCAGCACGCUUGGCCUUCUGUGGCUGACAAGAUCAGCCGCUGUUCUGUUGACCCAAAACGAGCUCUUAGUGACGGCCAAGCACAGAGCUGCUCAGCGAUUAACCUGCCUGUGCAGGCACCUGAGAGGCUGAGCAAAGUCGGACUUCGGUCGCUGUGGUCAUCUGGAUAGCUUCUGGUUCAUGUUCAUGGGCGCAGAUGACUCGGGAAAUUAUACGCGAAUUGAACCUACAAAGUACGAGUAUAAGGGAGACUGCGGGUUCCUCCCGGUUGCAUUUGGGCAAGGCUGUGCUCCAACAGAAGCUGAAGACCAGAAAUUGCCCUAGAAGGUGCAUUAAAUCGCUCUGGUAGACGUUUGCAAUUUCUUGCCAAUCACGAAUGUUAUUGUUAUUAUAAUACUACCACAAGGCCCAUGAU